UACGUAGGGUGCAAGCGUUAAUCGGAAUUACUGGGCGUAAAGCGUGCGCAGGCGGUGAUGUAAGACAGAUGUGAAAUCCCCGGGCUCAACCUGGGAAUUGCGCUUGAAACUAGCGGGCUUGAGUGUGGCAGAGGGGGGUGGAAUUCCACGUGUAGCAGUGAAAUGCGUAGAGAUGUGGAGGAACACCGAUGGCGAAGGCAGCCCCCUGGGUCAACACUGACGCUCAUGCACGAAAGCGUGGGGAGCAAACAGG
This 253-nucleotide ribosomal RNA is filed under the name uncultured bacterium. RNAcentral's name for it is "partial 16S ribosomal RNA". It matches the Rfam family "Bacterial small subunit ribosomal RNA", at positions 524 to 776 of the family's 1533-position model. The record is from RNAcentral.